AGAGAGAGCUUGCUUUCUCGAGCGAGUGGCGGACGGGUGAGUAACGCGUGGGUAACCUGCCUCACACUGGGGGAUAACAGUUAGAAAUAGCUGCUAAUACCGCAUAAGCGCACGGUUCCGCAUGGAACAGUGUGAAAAACUCCGGUGGUGUGAGAUGGACUCGCGUCCAAUUAGCUAGUUGGUGAGGUAACGGCCCACCAAGGCGACGAUCAGUAGCCGGCCUGAGAGGGCGAACGGCCACAUUGGGACUGAGACACGGCCCAGACUCC
This 269-nucleotide ribosomal RNA is filed under the name uncultured Eubacteriales bacterium. RNAcentral's name for it is "uncultured Clostridiales bacterium partial 16S ribosomal RNA". It matches the Rfam family "Bacterial small subunit ribosomal RNA", at positions 71 to 339 of the family's 1533-position model. The record is from RNAcentral. Lineage: Bacteria; Bacillati; Bacillota; Clostridia; Eubacteriales.